Molecule: ribosomal RNA, 497 nt
Filed under: uncultured bacterium
Lineage: Bacteria
Description: partial 16S ribosomal RNA
Rfam family: Bacterial small subunit ribosomal RNA
Source: RNAcentral
GAUGAACGCUGGCGGCGUGCCUAAUACAUGCAAGUCGAGCGAACGGACGAGAAGCUUGCUUUUCUGAUGUUAGCGGCGGACGGGUGAGUAACACGUGGAUAACCUACCUAUAAGACUGGGAUAACUUCGGGAAACCGGAGCCAAUACCGGAUAAUAUUUUGAACCGCAUGGUUCAAAAGUGAAAGACGGUCUUGCUGUCACUUAUAGAUGGAUCCGCGCUGCAUUAGCUAGUUGGUAGGGUAACGGCUUACCAAGGCAACGAUGCAUAGCCGACCUGAGAGGGUGAUCGGCCACACUGGAACUGAGACACGGUCCAGACUCCUACGGGAGGCAGCAGUAGGGAAUCUUCCGCAAUGGGCGAAAGCCUGACGGAGCAACGCCGCGUGAGUGAUGAAGGUCUUCGGAUCGUAAAACUCUGUUAUUAGGGAAGAACAUAUGUGUAAGUAACUGUACACAUCUUGACGGUACCUAAUCAGAAAGCCACGGCUAACUACGUG